UCCGGCAGGACGCCGGACAAGUUGUAUGUGUGCGAGUUUUAGGCUUGUGCCUAAAACUCGAGUUCAAAACCGAAUAGGAGGUUCGGUUUUGAAACGUAA
Molecule: small RNA, 99 nt
Filed under: Treponema maltophilum ATCC 51939
Lineage: Bacteria; Pseudomonadati; Spirochaetota; Spirochaetia; Treponematales; Treponemataceae
Description: TD-2 RNA
Rfam family: TD-2 RNA
About the family: non coding RNA found in Treponema denticola
Source: Rfam by way of RNAcentral